Long non-coding RNA from Cebus imitator (Panamanian white-faced capuchin), 281 nucleotides. RefSeq lists it as uncharacterized. The record is from RefSeq and is a predicted model, not a curated record. NCBI's taxonomy places the organism in Eukaryota, Metazoa, Chordata, Mammalia, Primates, Cebidae. The transcript is spliced from 3 exons.
UCGCUUGAGCCCAGGAGUUCUAGGCUGCAGUGCGCUAUGCCGAUCAGGUGUCCGCACUGAGUUCGGCAUCAAUAUGGUGACCUAUUGGGAGCGGGGGACCACCAGGUUGCAUAAGGAGGGGUAAACCAGCCCAGGUAGGAAACGGAGCAGGUCGAUACUCCCAAGCUGAUCAGUAGUGGGAUCGCACCUGUGAAUAGCCACUGCACUCCAGCCUGGGCAACAUCACGAGACCCUAAGAGCUGUCGAGAAGGGAAAGAACGAUAAGAAAUAAAUAAGGGGGG